ACUACACACCGCGGGGGCUCUCACGAUGACCGAGGGCUGAGAUGGCGACGGGCGGUCGCCGACCGCUCGAACCUGUCCGGGUAAUGCCGGCGUAGGGAGUUGAGCCAUGGGUACA
RNAcentral lists this non-coding RNA (115 nucleotides) under Gordonia terrae. RNAcentral's name for it is "TPP sequence". It matches the Rfam family "TPP riboswitch aptamer (THI element)". From Rfam's summary of the family: Vitamin B(1) in its active form thiamin pyrophosphate (TPP) is an essential coenzyme that is synthesised by coupling of pyrimidine and thiazole moieties in bacteria. The previously detected thiamin-regulatory element, thi box was extended, resulting in a new, highly conserved RNA secondary structure, the THI element, which is widely distributed in eubacteria and also occurs in some archaea. The record is from RNAcentral. Lineage: Bacteria; Bacillati; Actinomycetota; Actinomycetes; Mycobacteriales; Gordoniaceae.